GACGAACGCUGGCGGCGUGCCUAAUACAUGCAAGUAGAACGCACAGUUUAUACCGUAGCUUGCUACACCAUAGACUGUGAGUUGCGAACGGGUGAGUAACGCGUAGGUAACCUGCCUGGUAGCGGGGGAUAACUAUUGGAAACGAUAGCUAAUACCGCAUAAUAUUGAUUAUUGCAUGAUAAUUGAUUGAAAGAUGCUAUUGCAUCACUACCAGAUGGACCUGCGUUGUAUUAGCUAGUAGGUGAGGUAACGGCUCACCUAGGCGACGAUACAUAGCCGACCUGAGAGGGUGAUCGGCCACACUGGGACUGAGACACGGCCCAGACUCCUACGGGAGGCAGCAGUAGGGAAUCUUCGGCAAUGGACGAAAGUCCGACCGAGCAACGCCGCGUGAGUGAAGAAGGUUGUCGGAUCGUAAAGCUCUGUUGUAAGAGAAGAACGGGUGUGAGAGUGGAAAGUUCACACUGUGACGGUAUCUUACCAGAAAGGGACGGCUAACUACGUG
Molecule: ribosomal RNA, 505 nt
Filed under: uncultured bacterium
Lineage: Bacteria
Description: partial 16S ribosomal RNA
Rfam family: Bacterial small subunit ribosomal RNA
Source: RNAcentral